AUGUCUGCAGGGCUGUGCCCUGAGGCCACUUUUGCUAGAAGUGACAUUUCUGGAACCAGAGGGAGCACACAACUGUUCUUGAAAUUGAAGGUGUUUAUGCCCGAGAUGAAACUGAAUUUUAUUUGGGAAACAGAUGUACUUAUGUGUGCAAAGAACAACACAGUGGCCCUGGCAGCAAAUCAAACAAAACCAGAGUCAUCUGGGGAAAGGUAACUUGUGCCCAAGGAAAGAACAGCGUGGUUUGUGCCAAGUUCCAAAGCCACCCUCCUGCUAAGGCCAUUGGGCACAGAAUCCAUGUGAUGCUGUACCACUGGAGGAUUCAA
RNAcentral lists this long non-coding RNA (323 nucleotides) under Homo sapiens (human). Its description in RNAcentral is "non-protein coding lnc-GFM1-3:1". Lineage: Eukaryota; Metazoa; Chordata; Mammalia; Primates; Hominidae. The record is from RNAcentral.